CCUANGGGAGGCUGCAGUCGAGAAUCUUCGGCAAUGGGGGAAACCCUGACCGAGCGACGCCGCGUGCGAGAUGAAGGCCUUCGGGUUGUAAAUCGCUGUCAGAGGGGAGGAAAUGCCGGGAAGUAAUAAAUAGGACCCGGUUUGACCUAUCCUCAGAGGAAGGACGGGCUAAGUUCGUGCCAGCAGCCGCGGUAAGACGAACCGUCCAAACGUUAUUCGGAAUCACUGGGCUUAAAGGGUGCGUAGGCGGCCCGGGAAGUUGGGUGUGAAAGCCCUCGGCUCAACCGAGGAAUUGCGCCCAAAACUGCCGGGCUCGAGGGAGACAUAGGUGAGCGGAACUUAGGGUGGAGCGGUGAAAUGCGUUGAGAUCCUAAGGAACACCAGUAGCGAAAGCGGCUCACUGGGUCUCUUCUGACGCUGAUGCACGAAAGCUAGGGGAGCGAAGAGGAUUAGAUACCCGGNUANUC
Molecule: ribosomal RNA, 467 nt
Filed under: uncultured bacterium
Lineage: Bacteria
Description: bacterial SSU rRNA
Rfam family: Bacterial small subunit ribosomal RNA
Source: RNAcentral